GUCCAGGGUAGCCUAGUGCUCAUGACAUCAGCCCGGUAAGCGGAAGGUCGUGGGUUCGAUUCCCAUCCCUUGACA
This 75-nucleotide transfer RNA is filed under the name Cordylochernes scorpioides. Its description in RNAcentral is "tRNA-Thr". It matches the Rfam family "tRNA". From Rfam's summary of the family: Transfer RNA (tRNA) molecules are approximately 80 nucleotides in length. Lineage: Eukaryota; Metazoa; Arthropoda; Arachnida; Pseudoscorpiones; Chernetidae. The record is from RNAcentral.